AGCAUCCAACAUCACCAUGACGUUUCAAAAAUGCAUCUUGCAAAUAAAAUAAAAUAAAAAAACAACCAUGAUCCAAAAUAAACAAAUCUAACAUGAACAAUGAGUGCGCAAUGUUGCGACGUUUUGAAGUUCUGAAGAAGAAAAAACCUGCAAAACCUGUAUGUAAGUCCUGUGCAACGAUCAACGAAGCCCAAGAACUGAUUAACAGAUUAAAAAGGAUCGUAAAAUCCACACCAAAAUGUGAAAUAUGUAAUAUGGAGUGCACAGUUGAAUACCAUCUUUGUAACUUGGUAGCUUGGACGGGGGCUAUAGUAAUACUUGCUAUUGUUCUGAGGUCUCUAUAUCUGCUGUAUAUGAAGCCAGAAGGUACAUGACAAGGACGAUCCAGUGAAACUAUGAUCGGCCGAAUAUGCACAAAUGUUGGGAUUUAGAAAAAAGACGAGGAUAUAUCGUCUUAAGCGGGCCAUUUAUUUAAAAACCAGAAAUGGUACGCUUGGGUCUGGAUUUGUGUCCCAAAUUAGCAACAUUGUAGUAUCCAUUGGCAUUCUCUUUGUAUUCUUGUUAAUUCUGAGAGCGCUCUAUUUGAAGUUUGUUAAAAAUCAAAUGGAAUGUUAUUACUAAAUAUAGAAAUUACAUGCUGUAACUGAGGAAUAAAAUCAUG
This is an RNA transcript of Colias croceus (clouded yellow), 661 nucleotides long. RefSeq lists it as uncharacterized. The record is from RefSeq and is a predicted model, not a curated record. Lineage: Eukaryota; Metazoa; Arthropoda; Insecta; Lepidoptera; Pieridae. The transcript is spliced from 2 exons.